UCGGGAAUAUUGCGCAAUGGAGGAAACUCUGACGCAGUGACGCCGCGUGCAGGAAGAAGGUUUUCGGAUUGUAAACUGCUUUAGACAGGGAAGAAACAAGACAGUACCUGUAGAAUAAGCUCCGGCUAACUACGUGCCAGCAGCCGCGGUAAUACGUAGGGAGCAAGCGUUAUCCGGAUUUAUUGGGUGUAAAGGGUGCGUAGACGGGAGAGCAAGUUAGUUGUGAAAUCCCUCGGCUUAACCGAGGAACUGCAACUAAACUACUUUUCUUGAGUGCUGGAGAGGAAAGUGGAAUUCCUAGUGUAGCGGUGAAAUGCGUAGAUAUUAGGAGGAACACCAGUGGCGAAGGCGACUUUCUGGACAGUAACUGACGUUGAGGCACGAAAGUGUGGGGAGCAAACAGGAUUAGAUACCC
Molecule: ribosomal RNA, 415 nt
Filed under: uncultured bacterium
Lineage: Bacteria
Description: bacterial SSU rRNA
Rfam family: Bacterial small subunit ribosomal RNA
Source: RNAcentral